GACGAACGCUGGCGGCGUGCUUAACACAUGCAAGUCGAACGGAAAGGCGCGGCUCUUGUGGGGUGCUCGAGUGGCGAGCGGGGGAGUAAAACGCGAGGAACCUGCCCUUGACUUUGGGAUAACUUCAGGAAACUGGGGCGAAUACCGGAUAGGAGCUACUGCUGCAUGGGGGGGGUUGGAAAGUUUCGGCGGUGGGGGAUGGAAUCGCGGCUUAUCAGCUUGAUGGUGGGGUAGGGGAUUACCAGGGGUUUGACGGGUAGCCGGCCUGGGAGCUGGGCCGGCCACCUUGCGCCUGCGGUACGGCCCAGACUCCUACGGGCGGCAGCGGUCGGGAAUCUUGCGCAGUGGGCGGGCGCCUGAUACGGCGGCCCCGCGUGCGUGAUGCCGGCCUUCGGGUUGUAAACCGCUUUCGACUUUAACGAGGCGUGAGUGACGGUAAUGAGUCAGAAAGCACCGGCUAACUACGUG
RNAcentral lists this ribosomal RNA (468 nucleotides) under uncultured bacterium. RNAcentral describes it as "partial 16S ribosomal RNA". It matches the Rfam family "Bacterial small subunit ribosomal RNA", at positions 28 to 507 of the family's 1533-position model. The record is from RNAcentral.